This 492-nucleotide ribosomal RNA is filed under the name uncultured bacterium. RNAcentral's name for it is "partial 16S ribosomal RNA". It matches the Rfam family "Bacterial small subunit ribosomal RNA", at positions 29 to 507 of the family's 1533-position model. The record is from RNAcentral.
AGUGAACGCUGGCGGUAGGCCUAACACAUGCAAGUCGAACGGCAGCACAGUAAGAGCUUGCUCUUACGGGUGGCGAGUGGCGGACGGGUGAGGCAUACAUCGGAAUCUACUUUUUCGUGGGGGAUAACGUAGGGAAACUUACGCUAAUACCGCAUACGACCUACGGCUGAAAGCAGGGGAUCUUCGCACCUUGCGCGUUUGAAUGAGCCGAUGUCGGAUUAGCUAGUUGGCAGGGUAAAGGCUCACCAAGGCGACGAUGCGUAGCUGGUCUGAGAGGAUGAUCAGCCACACUGGAACUGAGACACGGUCCAGACUCCUACGGGAGGCAGCAGUGGGGAAUAUUGGACAAUGGGCGCAAGCCUGAUCCAGCCAUACCGCGUGAGUGAAGAAGGCCUUCGGGUUGUAAAGCCCUUUUGUUAGGAAAGAAAAGCAGCAGGUUAAUACCCCGCUGUUCUGACGGUACCCAAAGAAUAAGCACCGGCUAACUUCGUG